RNAcentral lists this ribosomal RNA (315 nucleotides) under Triticum aestivum (bread wheat). RNAcentral's name for it is "partial small subunit ribosomal RNA". The stretch from base 121 to 315 matches the Rfam family "Bacterial large subunit ribosomal RNA", at positions 1 to 209 of the family's 2925-position model. Lineage: Eukaryota; Viridiplantae; Streptophyta; Magnoliopsida; Poales; Poaceae. The record is from RNAcentral.
GAUAGCAUCAAAUUUUAUCAAUUCGACAAUUCGAUUUGUGAUUUCACAUUCAUGAACAUUGAUAAAAUAUUUCCAUUUAGUAGCACCUUAGGAUGGCAUAGCCUUAACCUUAAUGGUGAGGUUCACAAGAGGAAAGGCUUGUGGUGGAUACAUAGACACCCAUAGAUGAGGAAGGGCGUAGCAAGCGACGAAAUGUUUCGGGGAGUUGAAAAUAAGCACAGAUUCAGAGAUUUCCAAAUAGGCCGACCUUUUAAACUGCCAGCUGAAUCCAUGAGCAGGCAAGAGACAACCUGACGAAUUGAAACAUCUUAUUAG